This 523-nucleotide ribosomal RNA is filed under the name uncultured Leifsonia sp. Its description in RNAcentral is "bacterial SSU rRNA". It matches the Rfam family "Bacterial small subunit ribosomal RNA", at positions 96 to 633 of the family's 1533-position model. Lineage: Bacteria; Bacillati; Actinomycetota; Actinomycetes; Micrococcales; Microbacteriaceae. The record is from RNAcentral.
UGGCGAACGGGUGAGUAACACGUGAGUAACCUGCCCUUGACUCUGGGAUAAGCGUUGGAAACGACGUCUAAUACCGGAUACGAACCGCGAAGGCAUCUUCAGUGGUUGGAAAGAAUUUUGGUCAAGGAUGGACUCGCGGCCUAUCAGGUAGUUGGUGAGGUAAUGGCUCACCAAGCCUACGACGGGUAGCCGGCCUGAGAGGGUGACCGGCCACACUGGGACUGAGACACGGCCCAGACUCCUACGGGAGGCAGCAGUGGGGAAUAUUGCACAAUGGGCGAAAGCCUGAUGCAGCAACGCCGCGUGAGGGACGACGGCCUUCGGGUUGUAAACCUCUUUUAGCAGGGAAGAAGCGAAAGUGACGGUACCUGCAGAAAAAGCACCGGCUAACUACGUGCCAGCAGCCGCGGUAAUACGUAGGGUGCAAGCGUUGUCCGGAAUUAUUGGGCGUAAAGAGCUCGUAGGCGGUUUGUCGCGUCUGCUGUGAAAACUGGAGGCUCAACCUCCAGCCUGCAGUGGGUAC